UGUGCGCGCCCCCGUCUUCUAAUCCCCACACAACACCUGUGCACCUAUGGCGAAGCGCGCCUCCCGUUUGGAGCCGUCUGACCUCUGAACGGAGGUUGGACCGAGGCGCGGCUCCCUCUUUCACCACAGCCUGUCUUUAAACGCAUGUCUUUGAGCUCUACGGAGCUGAGAAAACACUUGUACAACUUUCAACAACGGAUCUCUUGGCUUUCGCAUCGAUGAAGAACGCCGCGAAAGUGCGAAACGUAAUGUGAAUUGCAGAAUUCAGUGAAUCAUCGAAUCUUUGAACGCAUCUUGCGCUCCUUGGUAUUCCGAGGAGCAUGCCUGUUUGAGUGUCGUGAACUCUCUCAACCCUUUUACUCCUUUGUUGGAGAAAAGGGUUGGAUUUGGACGCUUGCGGGGCGGUUUCCUCCCGCCGCUCGUCUUCAAACGCAUCAGCUUGGCCCUUUAGAGUCGGUUCGACGGCGGUGUGAUAACAAACGCUUCGUUGACAGUGGCGCCGUUUGGGGGCCGACUCCGACCCGGGUUGCUUAUAGCCGUCUUCGGACAAUGUUUUCAUGUCAUCUGACCUCAAAUCAGGUAGGACUACCCGCCGAACUUAAGCAUAUCAAUAAGCGGAGGAAAAGAAACUAACAAGGGAUUCCCCUAGUAACGGCGAGUGAAGCGGGAAGAGCUCAAAUUUGUAAUCUGGCGGUCUAUGGCCGUCCGAGUUGUA
This 715-nucleotide ribosomal RNA is filed under the name Ramaria araiospora. RNAcentral describes it as "eukaryotic LSU rRNA". The stretch from base 184 to 338 matches the Rfam family "5.8S ribosomal RNA". Lineage: Eukaryota; Fungi; Basidiomycota; Agaricomycetes; Gomphales; Gomphaceae. The record is from RNAcentral.